CGUAAUUUUUUUUUAUAAAAAGCAUGUAGAUUUUUUGGAAGUAUUACUCAGGAAUUUUUCUGCGCUCACUAAUGGUGACGAGCUGGACGAGCUGGAGACGAAGGCAAUCACGAAUGAAUGAGGCUGCUCCCAUUACGAACUAUAUGCUCCUCAAGAACUUAUGCAUUUACCCCCGAAGUCCAACUUACGCCGACGGCGAAAAAUCGGCCGCCGCCGGCAAACUCCAACUUUUACAUCACCCUCCUCAACCAAUGCGCCGCGGAGAAAUCCAUAACCCAAACAAGACGAGUCCAGCUUCACAUGAAGCAGACUGGCUUUCCCCAUCUCAGCCUCGGAAACAAGCUAAUUUCUGCUUAUUUGAGCUCUGGAAGCGUCGACGACGCACGCAAUGUGUUUGACGAUAUGCCGCAACCACACGUGGUUUCGUGGAGCUCCAUGAUAUCUUCCUACAUCCGCCAAGAAAGGCCUCAAGAGGCUGUUGCUCUGUACAAAAGGAUGAUGAUUGAAAAUUUAGUGCCGGAUGAGUUCACUUUCUCGAGCAUUUUCAGAGCUUUCUCUGAUCUGCGACUUUUUAAUGGAGGCCGAGCUGCUCACGGUCAGUCUGUGGUCUUCGGUUUACAAGCCGGAAAUGUCUAUGUAAGCAGCUCUUUGGUGGAUUUUUAUGCUCAAUUUGGAAGAUUGGGAGAAGCUCGCAUCGUCUACGAUUCGGUGAAGGCCAAAGAUGUUGUCUUGUCAACAGCUUUGAUAGUAGGUCACACGAAGAAUGGCGAAGAUCGACAAGCUAUAUUAGUAUUUGGAGAAAUGUUGAACAGUUACAUUCAAGCAAAUGACUUCACGUUUGCUAGUGUUCUAAUAGCAUGUGGGAAUUUGAAGGACUUGACCUCUGGAAGACUGAUUCAUGGCGCCAUCCUUAAAUCUGGAUUUGGUUCUUGGAUUGCUCCACAAACCUCUCUUCUUAGUAUGUACUCUAAGUGUGGCCUAAUUGAAGACUCUUUGAAGGUUUUUAAUGGGAUUUUGAAUCCAAACAAUGUGGCUUGGACUGCAAUCAUUGGUUGUUUGUUGCAUAGUCACAGAGAAGAGGAGGCUCUUUCGAUGUUUCGGAGCAUGAUUCUCAAUUCUGUGGCACCACCUAACGCUUUCACUUUAUCAACUACUCUCAGUGUCUGCUCAUCCCUCGCAUUGUUUGAACAAGGAAUGCUAAUCCAUGCUUAUGCUCUAAAGAGUGGCCUGGCUGAAAACAGAUUUGUGAUUUCUGCUCUUGUGGACACUUACGGCAAGUGCGGCCAUGUUGGGAUGGCCAGAAUGGUUUUUGAUAGUUUAUAUGCUCCUGAUUUGGUCUCCUUGAACUCCUUGAUCAAUGGUUAUGGUCAGAGUGGUAAUGGAGAGGAAGCUGUUCGAUUAUUUGAUAUGACAAAACGUUUGGGAAUCGAACCAAAUGAUGUCACUUAUGUUAAUGUGCUUUCUGCUUGCAGCAAUUCAGGAAUGCUUGAAGAAGGGCGUCGAGUUUUUUCAUUGAUGUUUACUGAUCACAGCCCUGGUCCAUCUAAUGAUCACUACGCCUGCAUGGUUGGCUUGCUUGGUCGUUCAGGGAGGUUAGAAGAGGCUGAAGAAUUGUUAAGUAAGGUGCAGAAACCAGACAAAGUUUUAUGGAGGACAUUGCUCGGUGCUUGCAAGAUUCAUGGAAAGCUAGAAAUGGCAAAAUGGGCUGCGAGAAAAGUGCUUGAACUUGAUCCUGGAGAUGAGGGAACUUAUAUUCUGUUAUCAAACAUUUAUGCAUCUUUGGGUAAAUGGAAAGAGGUUAUCAACAUCAAAUGCUUGGUGCGAGAGAUGGGAUUUAAGAAAGACCCUGCGGUGAGUUGGAUUUAUGUUAAUAAGAAGAUUCAUACAUUUAUGGCUGGAGAUCAGUCUCACCCUGAUGGAGAGCUGAUCUACAAGGAGUUAGAGGAACUGAUCGAAAAGACAAAAGGCUUGGGAUAUGUUCCUGAUACUAGCUUUGUGCUGCAGCAAAUGGAAGAGUUUGAGAUGGAGAGGUCUUUGUUUUACCACAGUGAGAAGCUGGCUGUUGCCUUUGGGGUGUUGAGCAGCAGAGGAAAGACAUGCAAUACUAUCACCAUUUUCAAAAACCUUAGAGUUUGUGGUGAUUGUCAUAACUGGAUAAAGUUGGUGUCUAAGGUGAUAGGAAAGGAGAUCAUUGCCAGAGAUGCUAAAAGAUUUCACAACUGCAGGGAUGGAUUGUGUUCUUGUGGAGAUUAUUGGUGAUAUUUUCAGUAUCUCUGUUGAAUAGCAAACAGUUUUUUAGGAUUUCUUUUAUUCUUUGGAAUCAUUCGGCAAGGAAGAGGAGACAUAUGCACUGCACCUCCCUCGAUAUCAUGGUUGGAUUAUUUUGAAUGUGCAAAAGUGAACAUUUUUGGGAGAGAACUGAUAACGAGAUAAGUCAACAAGCAUACUUGAUCAUCUUGGAGUAAGUGCUGAACAAGCUCUUAUGUCUCCCAGAAAUAAC
RNA transcript from Dendrobium catenatum, 2500 nucleotides. It is a transcript of the gene named pentatricopeptide repeat-containing protein At5g65570, with no coding region annotated. NCBI's taxonomy places the organism in Eukaryota, Viridiplantae, Streptophyta, Magnoliopsida, Asparagales, Orchidaceae. The record is from RefSeq and is a predicted model, not a curated record. The transcript is spliced from 2 exons.